RNAcentral lists this unclassified non-coding RNA (380 nucleotides) under uncultured Alphaproteobacteria bacterium. RNAcentral's name for it is "contains 16S-23S intergenic spacer region". The record is from RNAcentral. Lineage: Bacteria; Pseudomonadati; Pseudomonadota; Alphaproteobacteria.
UCGCGUCUUACGACGGCAGUUUCAGUAGAGUUCCCAGCGUUACCUGAUGGCAACUACUGAUGGGGGUUGCGCUCGUUGCGGGACUUAACCCAACAUCUCACGACACGAGCUGACGACAGCCAUGCAGCACCUGUGUGCAGGUCCCCGAAGGGAAGGAAUCCGUCUCCGGAAGCCGUCCUGCCAUGUCAAGGGCUGGUAAGGUUCUGCGCGUUGCUUCGAAUUAAACCACACGCUCCACCGCUUGUGCGGGCCCCCGUCAAUUCCUUUGAGUUUCACCCUUGCGGGCGUACUCCCCAGGUGGAUUACUUAAUGCGUUAGCUGCGCCACCCAGGCACCAAGUGCCCGGACAGCUAGUUAUCAUCGUUUACGGCGUGGACUAC